Molecule: ribosomal RNA, 369 nt
Filed under: Triticum aestivum (bread wheat)
Lineage: Eukaryota; Viridiplantae; Streptophyta; Magnoliopsida; Poales; Poaceae
Description: partial small subunit ribosomal RNA
Source: RNAcentral
AUGUCACCUUCGUGGCCUAUUAUCUGCAAGGUCUCGCUGCUCAAUGGUGGGAUAACCACAAACGUCCCUUACCUGUUGGAACCGCCAUCAAUUGGCCGGAAUUUCAAGCUGCAUUCUGCGGGCCAAUGUCGAAUCACAAUUGUUAGUCACAACGUCCCGGUUGAAAUUGAAGGGUUGAAAUUCCAUCUUUUUCCCAUUGUUUUGAAGUCAUCCAAUAUCGACCUGAUUCUGGGAAUGGAAUGGUUGAAAACACAUACCACUUCUAUCAUUUGCGCCAGUAAAACCAGCCAUCUACUCCUUCCUUCGAGAGAGAUAGUAAGCUACAUGCUCACCUUGUUUGAAAUGCCGAAGCACGAAUUUAUUUCUUGA